UUUUGUUCUAUAUCAAACUGUGGGUGAAAAGGGAAGCAGGUGCAAAUCCUGCACGAACUCGUCACCGUGAUUCGAAAGUUUAUGACUUCUUGAAUGAAAUUACAGAAAUCCGCACUGGUUGCGGAUUUCGUGAGAAAGUGAUUCAAGAGUCAACCAAGCCUCAUCGACAAAGUCGAUUCUAAUUGGCUUGGUUGAUACAUUCUUGAACAUCAUGUUCAAGAAUGUAUACCAAUCGAUCAGCCGGGAGACCUGCCUGUCGCU
This 261-nucleotide non-coding RNA is filed under the name Butyrivibrio hungatei. Lineage: Bacteria; Bacillati; Bacillota; Clostridia; Lachnospirales; Lachnospiraceae. The record is from RNAcentral.